UUUUUAUUAUUAUUAUUAUUUUCAAUGCAAGUGUUUACAUGCUAAGCAAUAGAUACAAGGCAUUAACCAUUAGUGAAUGAAUAAUUCACACAGCAGAAUGCAAAAUCACAUGGAAUAAAACACUAUACCAUAAAAGAAAUAACUGCAUGAAGAGGCCAUAUGAAGUAAGAAAACAUGGAAUGUAAUCUACGUUGCUUUUACAUGAGAUUGGUAAGAAAGUUUAGCAUACACUGAAAGGUCCUUUCAUAUUUUGUGCGUAAUACAUCAUUCAUAAGCCUUUACGUUGUCAGUCAUUUAGAUUAAUAUAUGCAAAUGCUAUAACAAGUAACAACAUAAUCCAACUCCUACAACAAUGAAUGUUGCAAAUAGUUCAUCCUUUAAAUCAAUAUGAGGUGUCCAAUAGGCAGACCAAAUGAUAUCAACUU
This 425-nucleotide unclassified non-coding RNA is filed under the name Hevea brasiliensis (rubber tree). The record is from RNAcentral. Lineage: Eukaryota; Viridiplantae; Streptophyta; Magnoliopsida; Malpighiales; Euphorbiaceae.